AUUCCUCCAGCUAAUGUAAAUGAAGUCUUUCCAUUGACUUCAGCAAGAGUCAGCUUAGUCCUUGUAGAAGGAAGUAAAUAGCAUGGAGACAGCGCCUUUUUGUACAGUUCUGCCUGGAUUUGCAAACAAACACUAGACACUCCUUUAUUUCUCUACUACUGCUCUGAAAGACAGGACAUCCUGCUUUUCAAAACAAAAGAUAUUAAGCCUACUUCAACUAGGUCAAUUACCAUACUCAGAUAGAAAAUGAUAAACCUAGACAUUCUGCUCUCAGAUGAUAGCAUGUUUGGAGAUAUGAGAGAAACAGAGAGCUGCUGGAACAUAUUGCAGAAGCCUAAAGCACUUAGCAACAGAGAAAGUGUGGGCUGCAACGACAGAAGCCAGAAUGUGGAAACAAGUGACAUCGAGGCGGCUGUUUGGGAAAGAAGAGCUUUUACUUUGUUUAUAAUUUCAGUAAUUCUAAAGAACUUGGCAGUGUGGGAGGUCACUGCAGUCUCUGACUCUGCACAUAUCCUUUUCUGUGUGCCUGUUUUUCAAAUGCCUAUGAUAAUUAUUACCAAGAGUGCUGGAUGUUCUAAUUUCCUUUUGUAUGCUUUUGUAUUUCCCGUUUCUCAAAAACUAGAGAAGUAAAAUUAAGGUAUUUGUUUUGCAUCAGUUUAUUCUAUUCAUACUCAUGUGGCAGGCACUGUGAAUAGUUUUUAAAUUGAUAACGAUAAUGUCUUCUGGAGUGAUGCAAUCAUUUACCUUGAUGCUUUUUAGUGCUUUGCACUAGAACAUCCUGAUAGUGUGCACUAAUGAUAGUGUGGAUGUCCAAUAACUGCUAAAGAAAAGAUGCCUGAAGUGUUGAACAGGGUAAAUUGAGUUGAGAUAAAAUAAAAAUUUUUCUGACAUGA
Lonchura striata (white-rumped munia) is the source of this 893-nucleotide non-coding RNA. Lineage: Eukaryota; Metazoa; Chordata; Aves; Passeriformes; Estrildidae. The record is from RefSeq and is a predicted model, not a curated record.